UACGUAGGGUGCAAGCGUUGUCCGGAAUUAUUGGGCGUAAAGAGCUCGUAGGCGGUCUGUCGCGUCUGCUGUGAAAACUCGGGGCUUAACCCCGGGCCUGCAGUGGGUACGGGCAGACUAGAGUGCGGUAGGGGAGACUGGAAUUCCUGGUGUAGCGGUGAAAUGCGCAGAUAUCAGGAGGAACACCGGUGGCGAAGGCGGGUCUCUGGGCCGUAACUGACGCUGAGGAGCGAAGGCGUGGGGAGCGAACAGG
RNAcentral lists this ribosomal RNA (253 nucleotides) under uncultured bacterium. RNAcentral describes it as "partial 16S ribosomal RNA". It matches the Rfam family "Bacterial small subunit ribosomal RNA", at positions 524 to 776 of the family's 1533-position model. The record is from RNAcentral.